UACAGAGGGGGCAAGCGUUAUUCGGAAUUAUUGGGCGUAAAGGGCGCGUAGGCGGCUUGGCAAGUGGAAGGUGAAAUCCCUCGGCUUAACCGAGGAACUGCCCUCCAAACUGCUUCGCUUGAGACCGGGAGAGGUGAGUGGAAUUCCCAGUGUAGCGGUGAAAUGCGUAGAUAUUGGGAAGAACACCUGAGGCGAAGGCGGGUUGCUGGGCUGAUACUGACGCUGAGGCGCGAAAGCCAGGGGAGCAAACGGG
RNAcentral lists this ribosomal RNA (253 nucleotides) under uncultured bacterium. Its description in RNAcentral is "partial 16S ribosomal RNA". It matches the Rfam family "Bacterial small subunit ribosomal RNA", at positions 524 to 776 of the family's 1533-position model. The record is from RNAcentral.